UUUAUGGAGAGUUUGAUCCUGGCUCAGGAUGAACGCUGGCGGCGUGCCUAAUACAUGCAAGUCGAGCGAACAGAUGAGGAGCUUGCUCCUCUGACGUUAGCGGCGGACGGGUGAGUAACACGUGGAUAACCUACCUAUAAGACUGGGAUAACUUCGGGAAACCGGAGCUAAUACCGGAUAAUAUAUUGAACCGCAUGGUUCAAUAG
Molecule: ribosomal RNA, 206 nt
Filed under: Staphylococcus epidermidis
Lineage: Bacteria; Bacillati; Bacillota; Bacilli; Caryophanales; Staphylococcaceae
Description: partial 16S ribosomal RNA
Rfam family: Bacterial small subunit ribosomal RNA
Source: RNAcentral